GCUUCCGGGGCGCCUGGCCCGCGCUCGCUCGUCGAGCGUGUGUUGUCGGAUUCGCGCCCCAGCCAUCCUUCUGGAGAACGGCCCUGCCCUUCACUGGGUCGGGGCCGCGAUCCAGAUCGUUUACUUUGAAAAAAUUAGAGUGUUCAAUGCAGGCUUCUACGCUGUGAAUACAUUAGCAUGGAAUAAUAAUUUAGGACUUCGGUUCUAUUUUGUUGGUUUCUAGGACUGAAGUAAUGAUUGAUAGGGAUAGUUGGGGGUGCUAGUAUUCAGCGGCCAGAGGUGAAAUUCUCGGAUUCGCUGAAGACUAACUUAUGCGAAAGCAUU
Molecule: ribosomal RNA, 324 nt
Filed under: Ventricleftida sp.
Lineage: Eukaryota; Cercozoa; Thecofilosea; Ventricleftida
Description: SSU rRNA
Rfam family: Eukaryotic small subunit ribosomal RNA (bases 110-324)
Source: RNAcentral